GUUAAAAAGCUCGUAGUUGGAUUUCUGGUACAAUGCGCCUGGCCCGCCAAGGUUACUUGUGUGAGUGCCGGUGCGCGUUUGCCAUCCUUCUAGAGAACGUUUCUACCCUUCGCUGGGCCGGACUCGCGAUCUAGAUCUUUUACUUUGAAAAAAUUAGAGUGUUUAAAGCAGGCUAUCGCUAUGAAUACAUUAGCAUGGAAUAAUAAUCUAGGACUUCGGUUCUAUUUUGUUGGUUUCUAGUACUGAAGUAAUGAUUGAUAGGGACAGUUGGGGGUGCUAGUAUUGGCCGGCCAGAGGUGAAAUUCUUGGAUUCGGUCAAGACUAACUUAUGCGAAAGCAUUCACCAAGGAUGUCUUCUUUAAUCAAGAACGAAAGUUGGGGGAUCGAAGACGAUCAGAUACCGUCGUAGUCUCAACCAUAAACUAUGCCAACUAGGGAUGAGUGGACGUUGCAUUUUCGACUCCAUUCGCACCUUAUGAGAAAUCAAAGUCUUUGGGUUCCGGGGGGAGUAUGGUCGCAAGGCUGAAACUUAAAGGAAUUGACGGAAGGGCACCACCAAGAGUGGAGCCUGCGGCUUAAUUUGACUCAACACGGGAAAACUUACCAGGUCCGGACAUAGUGAGGAUUGACAUAUUGAAGAUCUUUCUUGAUUCUAUGGGUGGUGGUGCAUGCCGU
Molecule: ribosomal RNA, 675 nt
Filed under: uncultured marine eukaryote
Lineage: Eukaryota
Description: SSU rRNA
Rfam family: Eukaryotic small subunit ribosomal RNA
Source: RNAcentral